RNAcentral lists this ribosomal RNA (2054 nucleotides) under Escherichia coli. RNAcentral's name for it is "partial 23S ribosomal RNA". It matches the Rfam family "Bacterial large subunit ribosomal RNA", at positions 911 to 2925 of the family's 2925-position model. The record is from RNAcentral. Lineage: Bacteria; Pseudomonadati; Pseudomonadota; Gammaproteobacteria; Enterobacterales; Enterobacteriaceae.
UGUUUCGGCAAGGGGGUCAUCCCGACUUACCAACCCGAUGCAAACUGCGAAUACCGGAGAAUGUUAUCACGGGAGACACACGGCGGGUGCUAACGUCCGUCGUGAAGAGGGAAACAACCCAGACCGCCAGCUAAGGUCCCAAAGUCAUGGUUAAGUGGGAAACGAUGUGGGAAGGCCCAGACAGCCAGGAUGUUGGCUUAGAAGCAGCCAUCAUUUAAAGAAAGCGUAAUAGCUCACUGGUCGAGUCGGCCUGCGCGGAAGAUGUAACGGGGCUAAACCAUGCACCGAAGCUGCGGCAGCGACGCUUAUGCGUUGUUGGGUAGGGGAGCGUUCUGUAAGCCUGUGAAGGUGUGCUGUGAGGCAUGCUGGAGGUAUCAGAAGUGCGAAUGCUGACAUAAGUAACGAUAAAGCGGGUGAAAAGCCCGCUCGCCGGAAGACCAAGGGUUCCUGUCCAACGUUAAUCGGGGCAGGGUGAGUCGACCCCUAAGGCGAGGCCGAAAGGCGUAGUCGAUGGGAAACAGGUUAAUAUUCCUGUACUUGGUGUUACUGCGAAGGGGGGACGGAGAAGGCUAUGUUGGCCGGGCGACGGUUGUCCCGGUUUAAGCGUGUAGGCUGGUUUUCCAGGCAAAUCCGGAAAAUCAAGGCUGAGGCGUGAUGACGAGGCACUACGGUGCUGAAGCAACAAAUGCCCUGCUUCCAGGAAAAGCCUCUAAGCAUCAGGUAACAUCAAAUCGUACCCCAAACCGACACAGGUGGUCAGGUAGAGAAUACCAAGGCGCUUGAGAGAACUCGGGUGAAGGAACUAGGCAAAAUGGUGCCGUAACUUCGGGAGAAGGCACGCUGAUAUGUAGGUGAAGUCCCUCGCGGAUGGAGCUGAAAUCAGUCGAAGAUACCAGCUGGCUGCAACUGUUUAUUAAAAACACAGCACUGUGCAAACACGAAAGUGGACGUAUACGGUGUGACGCCUGCCCGGUGCCGGAAGGUUAAUUGAUGGGGUCAGCGCAAGCGAAGCUCUUGAUCGAAGCCCCGGUAAACGGCGGCCGUAACUAUAACGGUCCUAAGGUAGCGAAAUUCCUUGUCGGGUAAGUUCCGACCUGCACGAAUGGCGUAAUGAUGGCCAGGCUGUCUCCACCCGAGACUCAGUGAAAUUGAACUCGCUGUGAAGAUGCAGUGUACCCGCGGCAAGACGGAAAGACCCCGUGAACCUUUACUAUAGCUUGACACUGAACAUUGAGCCUUGAUGUGUAGGAUAGGUGGGAGGCUUAGAAGUGUGGACGCCAGUCUGCAUGGAGCCGACCUUGAAAUACCACCCUUUAAUGUUUGAUGUUCUAACGUUGACCCGUAAUCCGGGUUGCGGACAGUGUCUGGUGGGUAGUUUGACUGGGGCGGUCUCCUCCUAAAGAGUAACGGAGGAGCACGAAGGUUGGCUAAUCCUGGUCGGACAUCAGGAGGUUAGUGCAAUGGCAUAAGCCAGCUUGACUGCGAGCGUGACGGCGCGAGCAGGUGCGAAAGCAGGUCAUAGUGAUCCGGUGGUUCUGAAUGGAAGGGCCAUCGCUCAACGGAUAAAAGGUACUCCGGGGAUAACAGGCUGAUACCGCCCAAGAGUUCAUAUCGACGGCGGUGUUUGGCACCUCGAUGUCGGCUCAUCACAUCCUGGGGCUGAAGUAGGUCCCAAGGGUAUGGCUGUUCGCCAUUUAAAGUGGUACGCGAGCUGGGUUUAGAACGUCGUGAGACAGUUCGGUCCCUAUCUGCCGUGGGCGCUGGAGAACUGAGGGGGGCUGCUCCUAGUACGAGAGGACCGGAGUGGACGCAUCACUGGUGUUCGGGUUGUCAUGCCAAUGGCACUGCCCGGUAGCUAAAUGCGGAAGAGAUAAGUGCUGAAAGCAUCUAAGCACGAAACUUGCCCCGAGAUGAGUUCUCCCUGACCCUUUAAGGGUCCUGAAGGAACGUUGAAGACGACGACGUUGAUAGGCCGGGUGUGUAAGCGCAGCGAUGCGUUGAGCUAACCGGUACUAAUGAACCGUGAGGCUUAACCUUACAACGCCGAAGCUGUU